CACAUACUCCCUCCAUCCCAAAAUUCUUGUCUUAGAUUAGUCUAGAUACGGAUGUAUCUAAUACUAAAAUGUGACUUGAUACAUCCGUAUUUAGACAAAUCUACGACUAGAAUUUUGGGACGGAGGGAGUACCUU
This is a non-coding RNA of Triticum aestivum (bread wheat), 135 nucleotides long. The record is from Rfam. Lineage: Eukaryota; Viridiplantae; Streptophyta; Magnoliopsida; Poales; Poaceae.